UAGUAACCACAUCUCUUUAGCAAGUGCCUACUGUGUGCCAGGCCUUGAGUUUGGGGCUUACAAAGCUAACGAAUUUCAAUUUCGUUCUUACCUAGGUCUACAAAGGAGAUGCUAAUGAUAGUUUACAAAUGAGGAAGUUGAAGCACAGGAAGACAGAGCACGUGGUCAAGUUCAUACCGAGGAACCGGAAGAAUAACCUCCACAGUAGAGACCCUUAGGCCUUUGCUUGAUGGUUUGAAGGGCUUUAUUCCUGGGAGGGGUCUUUGCAUGGUCAUUCCUUCCAAUCCCCCAACUCCAGCCUGCUGGUGUGUGUGUGUGUGUUCCUGCGUCACUGGGGUGGAACCAGGCAUGACCAAGAAACACCCACCCGCUCCCAUUUCCAUGCUGAUUCUGCUGCGCUCCCGCCCGCCCGCCCGCCUCUGCACGGUCCAAGCUGGCUCCUUUUCCAGCGCAACAGUACUUUCUUAAAAGCCGUACCUUCCUAGCCCCUGAACAUCUGGUAAAGCCAGCUCGCCUUCAAUACUUCUGUGUCUCCUUACGUUUUCCCUGGCUGCUCUCUCGUGUUUAUUUUUCCAGAUGAAAUUUGGUAUCAUUUUUUGUCAAGUUUCAAAAAAUAAAAGAAAAUAAAACCCU
Grammomys surdaster is the source of this 633-nucleotide long non-coding RNA. RefSeq lists it as uncharacterized. The record is from RefSeq and is a predicted model, not a curated record. The transcript is spliced from 3 exons. Lineage: Eukaryota; Metazoa; Chordata; Mammalia; Rodentia; Muridae.